UACGAAGGGUGCUAGCGUUGUUCGGAAUCACUGGGCGUAAAGCGCGCGUAGGCGGUGAUCCAUGUCAGAGGUGAAAGCCCGGGGCUCAACUCCGGAAUUGCCUUUGAAACGGGAUCGCUAGAGUCCGAGAGAGGAUGGCGGAAUUCCUAGUGUAGAGGUGAAAUUCGUAGAUAUUAGGAAGAACACCGGUGGCGAAGGCGGCCAAUCUGGCUCGGUACUGACGCUCAGGCGCGAAAGCGUGGGGAGCAACAGGG
This 254-nucleotide ribosomal RNA is filed under the name uncultured bacterium. Its description in RNAcentral is "partial 16S ribosomal RNA". It matches the Rfam family "Bacterial small subunit ribosomal RNA", at positions 524 to 776 of the family's 1533-position model. The record is from RNAcentral.